This 958-nucleotide long non-coding RNA is filed under the name Homo sapiens (human). RNAcentral describes it as "HSALNT0300298". Lineage: Eukaryota; Metazoa; Chordata; Mammalia; Primates; Hominidae. The record is from RNAcentral.
GGGAGCUCCGCGCUGGCCAGGCCGCCUUUGCCACCCCCGCGUGAUGCGCCGGGGGGCGGGAGGAGCCUGCGGGGGCGGGGGGCGCGUCUCAAGGUCCUCCCUGCACAUCUGGCGCAAUGGGGAGCGUUCGCCUUUCUUUCCCGGGUUUUGUUCUCACAGCUGUGUCCAUUCCGCCCGUGACCCCGCGAGUGAUCCCUGACAGUCACCAUGUAACAAAUGCAGACAUCUCUGAGAUCACCAUGCAGUGAGGAAGUCUAAGCUGGUGGCAUGAAGAGGCCACAUGGAAAGGGCUAAAAAAGGGGCCAGCCUCAGUCAUCCCAGCUGAGCACCUGGCUGGGAAUAAAAGAGGACUCCGUGGAUGUCCAGCCCAGUAAGAUGACCUCAGCCCCAGCCACCAACUGACCAAGCACACAAGACAUCGUGAGGCUGCCUGCUGGAGCCUGGCCAGUGGGACUGUAGAGUAACUCAUUGUCGUGCAGGAACUCCUGGGAUGGUGUUGCCCAGUGACACAAUCCCAGUGUGGCCAUUUCUGAUCCCGAGAAAGCAGUCAGGAGUGGGUGGAUGCAGUUACAGUUCAUCAAGUCCUGCUAGUUCAAGUCAUGAGUCCUGAAUUCUCCAGGAGGAGCCACUAAAGAAAUGCAGAAGCAGGCAAUCCUUGCAAUAAGGCCAGCAAACUGCCAGUGUGAAGGAUGCCCAGGUAACCUGCCCAUGCCAGAACGGCCAGGAGAUGGUGGAACCAGAAUCUAAGCCCACGCCCAUCUGACCUCAAAGUCUGUGCUCCUGAGGUUCGCACCGAGUUGCCUCCUAAGACUUGCUGAAACUGGAUCACGUCCAUUUACCCAUCUCUGAGAGAAAUGCAAGCUUUAAAAAAGGAAAUAUUUACUAUGGAUAUUUUACAAUAGUUCCAAAACAUGAAAGUUUUAAAUAAGAUAUUCUUAACCAUCCUCACCACAUCUUC